GACGAACGCUGGCGGCGUGCUUAACACAUGCAAGUCGAACGGAAAGGCCCUGCUUGCAGGGUCCUCGAGUGGCGAACGGGUGAGUAACACGUGGGUGAACCGCCCCGCUCUUCGGGGUAAGCCUGCGGAAAUGGGUCUAAUACCGCCUAGAGGCCAUUUUUAGUCAUCUUGUUGGAAAGAAAUUUCGGUGUAGGAUGAGCUCGCGGGCUAUCCGCUUGGUGGUGGGGGAAUGGCCUACCAAGGCGGCGACGGGGAGCCGGCCCGAGUGGGUGGACGGCCACAUUGGGACUGAGAUAAGGCCCAGACUCCGUCGGGAAGAAGGAGUGGGGAAUAUUGGACAAUGGGCGCAAGGCCGGUGCAACGAAGCCGGCGGGGGGAUGACUGACCUCCGGUUGGAAGCGCGUUUCGCUAGGGACGAAGCUUUUUGUGACGGUACCUAGAUAAGAAGCACCGGCUAACUACGUG
This 465-nucleotide ribosomal RNA is filed under the name uncultured bacterium. Its description in RNAcentral is "partial 16S ribosomal RNA". It matches the Rfam family "Bacterial small subunit ribosomal RNA", at positions 28 to 507 of the family's 1533-position model. The record is from RNAcentral.